This 253-nucleotide ribosomal RNA is filed under the name uncultured bacterium. RNAcentral's name for it is "partial 16S ribosomal RNA". It matches the Rfam family "Bacterial small subunit ribosomal RNA", at positions 524 to 776 of the family's 1533-position model. The record is from RNAcentral.
UACGAAGGGUGCGAGCGUUAUUCGGAAUCACUGGGCGUAAAGGGUGCGUAGACGGUAUGUUAAGUUUGUUGUUAAAGGCUCCGGCCUAACUGGAGUAUUGCGAUGAAAACUGGCAAACUAGAGGGUGAGAGAGAGAAGUGGAAUUCCCGGAGUAGCGGUAAAAUGCGUGGAUCUCGGGAGGAACACCAAUGGCGAAGGCAGCUUCUUGGCUCAUUCCUGACGUUGAGGCACGAAAGCGUGGGGAGCAAACAGG